RNAcentral lists this transfer-messenger RNA (325 nucleotides) under Pseudoprimorskyibacter insulae. RNAcentral's name for it is "Primorskyibacter insulae beta_tmRNA". It matches the Rfam family "Alphaproteobacteria transfer-messenger RNA". Rfam says of the family: Bacterial tmRNA, also known as 10Sa RNA or SsrA, is named for its dual tRNA and mRNA-like properties. Its role is to liberate the mRNA from a stalled ribosome. The record is from RNAcentral. Lineage: Bacteria; Pseudomonadati; Pseudomonadota; Alphaproteobacteria; Rhodobacterales; Paracoccaceae.
UGCCUCAAGCUGACUUGUAAAGCGGAACAACGGCUUCUAUAUAUCGGGUGUUCCCUCGGGAACUAUGGGCAUAAACGCGCGUAGAAUAAGCGGAUCGGACCCGGGGGCGGUACCCGGCGGCUCCACCAAACAUCCUUCGUUUGAGGAUCAUGGGGCCGAAAUAGGAUCGACGAACGUGUAAAAACGUAGCUUUGCUUCGGUGAGAUACCACCGUUAUCGGUUCAAAAAGUACAAUUGCAAACGACAAUCGUGCUCCGGUUGCUCUGGCUGCGUAAGCAGUUCGAGGAAUCGAAAUCUAAGUCCUUGCGCUUAGCAGCGUAAGGCG